This 1529-nucleotide ribosomal RNA is filed under the name Serratia rubidaea. RNAcentral's name for it is "bacterial SSU rRNA". It matches the Rfam family "Bacterial small subunit ribosomal RNA". Lineage: Bacteria; Pseudomonadati; Pseudomonadota; Gammaproteobacteria; Enterobacterales; Yersiniaceae. The record is from RNAcentral.
AGAGUUUGAUCAUGGCUCAGAUUGAACGCUGGCGGCAGGCCUAACACAUGCAAGUCGAGCGGCAGCGGGAGGAAGCUUGCUUCCUCGCCGGCGAGCGGCGGACGGGUGAGUAAUGUCUGGGGAUCUGCCCGAUGGAGGGGGAUAACCACUGGAAACGGUGGCUAAUACCGCAUAACGUCGCAAGACCAAAGUGGGGGACCUUCGGGCCUCACACCAUCGGAUGAACCCAGAUGGGAUUAGCUAGUAGGUGGGGUAAUGGCUCACCUAGGCGACGAUCCCUAGCUGGUCUGAGAGGAUGACCAGCCACACUGGAACUGAGACACGGUCCAGACUCCUACGGGAGGCAGCAGUGGGGAAUAUUGCACAAUGGGCGCAAGCCUGAUGCAGCCAUGCCGCGUGUGUGAAGAAGGCCUUCGGGUUGUAAAGCACUUUCAGCGAGGAGGAAGGUGGUGAACUUAAUACGUUCAUCAAUUGACGUUACUCGCAGAAGAAGCACCGGCUAACUCCGUGCCAGCAGCCGCGGUAAUACGGAGGGUGCAAGCGUUAAUCGGAAUUACUGGGCGUAAAGCGCACGCAGGCGGUUUGUUAAGUCAGAUGUGAAAUCCCCGAGCUUAACUUGGGAACUGCAUUUGAAACUGGCAAGCUAGAGUCUCGUAGAGGGGGUAGAAUUCCAGGUGUAGCGGUGAAAUGCGUAGAGAUCUGGAGGAAUACCGGUGGCGAAGGCGGCCCCCUGGACGAAGACUGACGCUCAGGUGCGAAAGCGUGGGGAGCAAACAGGAUUAGAUACCCUGGUAGUCCACGCCGUAAACGAUGUCGAUUUGGAGGUUGUGCCCUUGAGGCGUGGCUUCCGGAGCUAACGCGUUAAAUCGACCGCCUGGGGAGUACGGCCGCAAGGUUAAAACUCAAAUGAAUUGACGGGGGCCCGCACAAGCGGUGGAGCAUGUGGUUUAAUUCGAUGCAACGCGAAGAACCUUACCUACUCUUGACAUCCAGAGAACUUUCCAGAGAUGGAUUGGUGCCUUCGGGAACUCUGAGACAGGUGCUGCAUGGCUGUCGUCAGCUCGUGUUGUGAAAUGUUGGGUUAAGUCCCGCAACGAGCGCAACCCUUAUCCUUUGUUGCCAGCGGUUCGGCCGGGAACUCAAAGGAGACUGCCAGUGAUAAACUGGAGGAAGGUGGGGAUGACGUCAAGUCAUCAUGGCCCUUACGAGUAGGGCUACACACGUGCUACAAUGGCGUAUACAAAGAGAAGCGAACCUGCGAAGGCAAGCGGACCUCAUAAAGUACGUCGUAGUCCGGAUUGGAGUCUGCAACUCGACUCCAUGAAGUCGGAAUCGCUAGUAAUCGUAGAUCAGAAUGCUACGGUGAAUACGUUCCCGGGCCUUGUACACACCGCCCGUCACACCAUGGGAGUGGGUUGCAAAAGAAGUAGGUAGCUUAACCUUCGGGAGGGCGCUUACCACUUUGUGAUUCAUGACUGGGGUGAAGUCGUAACAAGGUAACCGUAGGGGAACCUGCGGUUGGAUCACCU